CAAUAGCGUAUAUUUAAGUUGUUGCAGUUAAAAGCUCGUAGUUGGAUUUUGGGUGCGGCAGGCCGGUCCGCCCUUUGGGUGUGCACUGGCAGGCGGCAUCUUUCUGUCGAGGACGCGCUCCUGGCCUUCACGGGUCGGGACGCGGAGUCGGCGCGGUUACUUUGAAAAAUUAGAGUGUUCAAAGCGGGCGUACGCUUGAAUAUAUUAGCAUGGAAUAACAUUAUAGGACUCCCGUCCUAUUCUGUUGGUCUUCGGGAUGGGAGUAAUGAUUAAGAGGAACAGUUGGGGGCAUUCGUAUUUCAUUGUCAGAGGUGAAAUUCUUGGAUUUAUGAAAGACGAACUUCUGCGAAAGCAUUUGCCAAGGAUGUUUUCAUUAAUCAAGAACGAAAGUUGGGGGCUCGAAGACGAUUAGAUACCAU
Molecule: ribosomal RNA, 419 nt
Filed under: uncultured eukaryote
Lineage: Eukaryota
Description: SSU rRNA
Rfam family: Eukaryotic small subunit ribosomal RNA
Source: RNAcentral